Molecule: ribosomal RNA, 93 nt
Filed under: Carlito syrichta (Philippine tarsier)
Lineage: Eukaryota; Metazoa; Chordata; Mammalia; Primates; Tarsiidae
Source: RNAcentral
GUCUCUGACCUUACCAUUCUGAAUGCACUGAUCUCAUUUGAUCUUAGAAGCUAAUCAGAAUUGGGUUAGGUUAGUACCUGGAUGAGAGAAACA